RNAcentral lists this ribosomal RNA (1242 nucleotides) under metagenome. Its description in RNAcentral is "bacterial LSU rRNA". It matches the Rfam family "Bacterial large subunit ribosomal RNA", at positions 1564 to 2815 of the family's 2925-position model. The record is from RNAcentral.
UGAGUACGAGAUGCUACGGCAUCGAAGCAGUCUAUGUCAUACUUCCAAGAAAAGCUCGCACUGUCAAAAACAAAUGAAUGCCUGUACCAUAACCGACACAGGUGGGUAGGUAGAGUAUACUAAGGGGCGCGAGAUAACUCUCUCUAAGGAACUCGGCAAAAUGACUCCGUAACUUCGGGAGAAGGAGUGCCUUCUUUGGAAGGUUCAAUAACCAGAUCCAAGCAACUGUUUAUCAAAAACACAGGUCUCCGCUAAGUCGUAAGACGAUGUAUGGGGGCUGACGCCUGCCCAGUGCCAGAAGGUUAAAGAAGUUGGUUAGCUUCGGCGAAGCUGAUAACUGAAGCCCUGGUGAACGGCGGCCGUAACAAUAACGGUCCUAAGGUAGCGAAAUUCCUUGUCGGGUAAGUUCCGACCCGCACGAAAGGCGUAAUGAUUUGGAUACUGUCUCAGAGAGGGACUCGGUGAAAUAGACUUGUCUGUGAAGAUGCGGACUACCUGCACCUGGACAGAAAGACCCUAUGAAGCUUUACUGUAACUUGAGAUUGAAAUUGGACUUUAUUCGCGCAGUAUAGGUGGGAGGCGUUGAAAAUACUCUUGCGGGAAUAUUGGAGCCAUCAGUGAGAUACCACUCUUGUAAUGUUAGAUUUCUAACUUUGUAUCAUUAUCUGGUCAAAGAACAGUUUCAGGCGGGCAGUUUGACUGGGGCGGUCGCCUCCCAAAUGGUAACGGAGGCGCACAAAGGUUUCCUCUGAACGGGUAGAAAUCGUAUCUAGAGUGUAAAGGCAUAAGGAAGCUUGACUGUGAGACCUACAAGUCGAGCAGGGACGAAAGUCGGUCUUAGUGAUCUGACGGUGCUGAGUGGAAAGGCCGUCACUCAACGGAUAAAAGUUACUCUAAGGAUAACAGGCUGAUCUCCCCCAAGAGUUCACAUCGACGGGGAGGUUUGGCACCUCGAUGUCGGCUCAUCGCAUCCUGGGGCGGUAGUACGUCCCAAGGGUUGGGCUGUUCGCCCAUGAAAGCGGUACGCGAGCUGGGUUCAGAACGUCGUGAGACAGUUCGGUCCAUAUCCGGUGUAGGCGUUAGAAUAUUGAGAGGAGCCUUCUUUAGUACGAGAGGACCGAGAAGGACAUACCUCUGGUGUACCAGUUAUCGUGCCAACGGUAAACGCUGGGUAGCUAUGUAUGGAGUGGAUAACCGCUGAAAGCAUCUAAGUGGGAAGCCCACCUCAAGAUAAGUAUUCUC